RNAcentral lists this ribosomal RNA (1394 nucleotides) under uncultured organism. RNAcentral's name for it is "bacterial SSU rRNA". It matches the Rfam family "Bacterial small subunit ribosomal RNA". The record is from RNAcentral.
AACGUUGGCGACGCGUUUAAGCAUGCAAGUCGAGCGGCUAAAGCUCCUUCGGGAGUGUAUAAAGCGGCGAACUGGUGAGUAACACGUAGAUAUUUGCCUUACAGUCAGGGAUAGCCAUCGGAAACGGUGAUUAAUACCUGAUACUAUUUUACGAUGAAAGGCCCGUUUGGGUCGCUGUAAGAGAAGUCUGCGCCUUAUUAGCUUGUUGGCGGGGUAAAGGCCCACCAAGGCGAUGAUAAGUAGCCGGCCUGAGAGGGUGAUCGGCCACAUUGGGACUGAGAUACGGCCCAGACUCCUACGGGAGGCAGCAGCUAAGAAUAUUCCGCAAUGGACGAAAGUCUGACGGAGCGACGUCGCGUGGAUGAUGAAGGCCUUCGGGUUGUAAAGUCCUUUCGGCAGGGAAGAAUAACGCAUAGAGGAAAUGCUAUGCGGAUGACGGUACCUGCAUAAGAAGCCCCGGCUAAUUACGUGCCAGCAGCCGCGGUAAUACGUAAGGGGCAAACGUUGUUCGGAAUUAUUGGGCGUAAAGCGCGCGUAGGCUGACAUAUAAGUCAUCGGUUAAAGACCCGGGCUCAACCCGGGGAGUGCCGCUGAUACUGUAUGUCUGGAAUUACACAGAGGUAACAGGAAUUCUUGGUGUAGGGGUGAAAUCUGUAGAUAUCAAGAAGAACACCAAUGGCGAAGGCAAGUUACUGGGUGAUAAUUGACGCUGAGGUGCGAAAGCCAGGGGAGCGAACGGGAUUAGAUACCCCGGUAGUCCUGGCCGUAAACGAUGCACACUAGUUGUAGGGUAUGUUAAAAAUACUCUGUGACGAAGUAAACGCGAUAAGUGUGCCGCCUGGGGAGUAUGCCCGCAAGGGUGAAACUCAAAGGAAUUGACGGGGGCCCGCACAAGCGGUGGAGCAUGUGGUUUAAUUCGAUGGUACGCGAAGAAUCUUACCCGGGUUUGAAUUGUAUCGGACAGCUUCAGAGAUGAAGUUUUCCUUCGGGACUGAUAUGAAGGUGCUGCAUGGCUGUCGUCAGCUCGUGUCGUGAGAUGUUGGGUUAAGUCCCGCAGCGAGCGCAACCCUCACCCUUUGUUGCUACCCUGCUUCGGCAGGGAGGACUCUUAGGGAACUGCCCCGGUUAACGGGGAGGAAGGUGGGGAUGACGUCAAGUUCUCAUGGCCCUUAUGUCCGGGGCUACACACGUGCUACAAUGGGAUGAACAAAGAGACGCAAACCCGCAAGGUCAAGCAAAUCUCAAAAAACAUUCCUCAGUUCGGAUUGCAGUCUGAAACUCGACUGUAUGAAGGUGGAAUCGCUAGUAAUCGCAGAUCAGCAUGCUGCGGUGAUACGUUCUCGGGCCUUGUACACACCGCCCGUCACACCACCCGAGUUGAGUUUACCCGAAGU